This is a non-coding RNA of Megalopta genalis, 209 nucleotides long. The record is from RefSeq and is a predicted model, not a curated record. NCBI's taxonomy places the organism in Eukaryota, Metazoa, Arthropoda, Insecta, Hymenoptera, Halictidae.
AGAAGAGUUCGUCCUGUCUCUGAGGUAAAACUGCGCCUAUCAAUGAUCUACAUCAUGUUUCCAAUUGAAUCUCUAUCUUCAAAAUCCAGUUCAGGCUUGUUUGACUUUACGAGCAAAUGGUAUCGAGACUUACGUACCUUGCUUGCUGUAGUUUAUCGCACUACACGGAAAUGUCACUGUCGGAUUGUACAUCAAGGUUUUCAAUUUAA